This 429-nucleotide ribosomal RNA is filed under the name Chloroflexota bacterium. RNAcentral's name for it is "Chloroflexi bacterium partial 16S ribosomal RNA". It matches the Rfam family "Bacterial small subunit ribosomal RNA", at positions 355 to 776 of the family's 1533-position model. Lineage: Bacteria; Bacillati; Chloroflexota. The record is from RNAcentral.
UGGGGAAUAUUGCACAAUGGGCGCAAGCCUGAUGCAGCCAUGCCGCGUGUAUGAAGAAGGCCUUCGGGUUGUAAAGUACUUUCAGCGGGGAGGAAGGGAGUAAAGUUAAUACCUUUGCUCAUUGACGUUACCCGCAGAAGAAGCACCGGCUAACUCCGUGCCAGCAGCCGCGGUAAUACGGAGGGUGCAAGCGUUAAUCGGAAUUACUGGGCGAAAAGCGCACGCAGGCGGUUUGUUAAGUCAGAUGUGAAAUCCCCGGGCUCAACCUGGGAACUGCAUCUGAUACUGGCAAGCUUGAGUCUCGUAGAGGGGGGUAGAAUUCCAGGUGUAGCGGUGAAAUGCGUAGAGAUCUGGAGGAAUACCGGUGGCGAAGGCGGCCCCCUGGACGAAGACUGACGCUCAGGUGCGAAAGCGUGGGGAGCAAACAGG